UAGGUUUGACAUGGAAUGGAAGAGUGGCAGAAAUGUCCUCGCCCGCAAGGGCCGUUUCAC
This 60-nucleotide ribosomal RNA is filed under the name uncultured organism. RNAcentral's name for it is "partial 16S ribosomal RNA". The record is from RNAcentral.